GCCGGAGUGGCGGAAUUGGCAGACGCGCGGGAUUCAAAAUCCCGUCUGGGCAACCAGGUGUGGGUUCAAGUCCCUCCUCCGGCA
Molecule: transfer RNA, 84 nt
Filed under: Planctomycetota bacterium
Lineage: Bacteria; Pseudomonadati; Planctomycetota
Description: tRNA-Leu
Rfam family: tRNA
About the family: Transfer RNA (tRNA) molecules are approximately 80 nucleotides in length. Their secondary structure includes four short double-helical elements and three loops (D, anti-codon, and T loops).
Source: RNAcentral